Molecule: long non-coding RNA, 738 nt
Filed under: Cercocebus atys (sooty mangabey)
Lineage: Eukaryota; Metazoa; Chordata; Mammalia; Primates; Cercopithecidae
Description: lncRNA (ENSCATG00000045537.1)
Source: RNAcentral
GUGGUAAGUUCCUGGAGAUUAUUGUUUUAAAAAUGUGCUUGCUGCCUGCCACUCUGCUACCAAAAAUAGCCAGUCUGAAGGGUCUAAGUGUUAAGAGGACAUUCCUGGAAACUAGUUCAUCAGAGGCCAUUUGUGACAAAACAUUCUUGAAUUAUUUUUCACAACCGUCUCUCUCUAGCAAAUGAAACUAAUUUCUAUCGAAAGAGACUGAAAGCGUCACAUCAGUGAAAAUUUGGAUAGACACAUUGCCGCAUACAAAUCCGAUGCUUUAUGAUCUCACACUGCACGGAUUUGGAAACUACUGCAUGUGCACGAUUCUCCGCCUAGUUCCCUGCAGGUGGGGAUGUUUUUUUCCCCCCCCCGGAAAGAAAACUGUAGCUCUGCCCUGAAGAUGAGUCCCACAGAGGUUUUGCAGGGUGGAGUUAUCGAGAAAUUGACUUCGGGGAGACGAAGCUCUGACCUCCCAGGCACCAAGAUUUUUACCAACAACCCGGGAUGCUCACUGCAGGAGGGAGCGGGUGAGGAGGACACAGGGAUUCGAGGGCGGGACAGACAGGGAGAGGACACAGGUUAAAACAGAGACUUCUGUUUUAAGGCUCUCGGGGAUCCCUGAGAGUGCCCCUGAGGGCUCCAAGCGCGGGAAGCGAGCGCCGGGAAGUGGCGGUUACAGUCCCGGGUCCCGCGCCCUUUCCCGCGCCACUGCUCAGCCGGUUCCGGCGCGCCCCCAAGCCCACGCGG